GUGCUUCCUUCAGGUGCACAUAUACCAAAGUUGGAAUGAUACAGAGGAGAUUAGCAUGGCCCCUGCACAAAGACGACAUGCAAAUUCGUGCAGCAUUUCAUUUUUUC
Small nuclear RNA from Phascolarctos cinereus (koala), 107 nucleotides. Lineage: Eukaryota; Metazoa; Chordata; Mammalia; Diprotodontia; Phascolarctidae. The record is from Ensembl.